This 558-nucleotide ribosomal RNA is filed under the name Triticum aestivum (bread wheat). RNAcentral describes it as "partial small subunit ribosomal RNA". The record is from RNAcentral. Lineage: Eukaryota; Viridiplantae; Streptophyta; Magnoliopsida; Poales; Poaceae.
AUGGCGUGUGGCGUGUUGUUAACUACUCCAGCGCGAUCGACGCGCGUAAACGUGUCCGCUGAAAGAUUCGAGCGGCGCAAUGCACCAUUUAAGGCGCCCGCAGUCCUUGCACGUCCAUGUCAACAAGCCAAACGGCCAGAUGUUGAGGCCAGGGACUUAGGAAAAGGAGAGUCCUCUAAUUUUUUUUUCAUUUUUGCUAUGUGUAAGUUGCAUGAAUUACUAUUUUGUGCAGUAUUUGUGUGUCUUACAGUGAAGCACAGGCUUUGGAUGUCGGACCGACGGGCGAGGCAUGGCUUGCAGGACCAGUCAUCCGCGUGUUUUACGAGUCUGCAAGACGAGGACAACGUCAAACAUAUUCCGUCCAAGUGCGUAUAUGCUCGAAAGUGUGUCAUAAGGUGUGGGACCCCCUACGGAUCAAUGGACACGCCCGCUGACCGGUGGUUCAGGUCUUCAGGGAGAGGAGAAACUUCAUGGGCACAGAUAGGAGAGGCUUCGACACAUUGGCCAUGGCUUGAUCUUUAUGGAAGGAGUGUAAUGUUAGAGUGUUUAACGGAGUGA